Molecule: ribosomal RNA, 443 nt
Filed under: uncultured bacterium
Lineage: Bacteria
Description: partial 16S ribosomal RNA
Rfam family: Bacterial small subunit ribosomal RNA
Source: RNAcentral
CCUACGGGAGGCAGCAGUAGGGAAUAUUGGGCAAUGGAGGAAACUCUGACCGAGCAACGCCGCGUGAGUGAUGAAGGUCUUCGGAUUGUAAAGUUCUGUUCUAAGGGAAGAAGAAAGUGACGGUGCCUUAGGAAUAAGCCUCGGCUAACUACGGUCCAGCAGCCGCGGAAAUACGUAGGAGGAGCGCGUUAUCCGGAAUGACUGGGCGUAAAGGGUGGGUAGGUGGUUUGGCAAGUUAGUAGCGUAACUCCAAGGCUCAACCUUGGAACUACUACUAAAACUGUUGGGCUUGAGUGUAGGAGGGGCAACCGGAAUUCCUAGUGUAGCGGUGGAAUGCGUAGAUAUUAGGAGGAACACCAGUGGCGAAGGCGGGUUGCUAGACUGUAACUGACACUGAGGCACGAAAGCGUGGGGAGCAAACAGGAUUAGAUACCCUUGUAGUC